GAUGAACGCUAGCUACAGGCUUAACACAUGCAAGUCGAGGGGUAACGAGAGGAAAGCUUGCUUUCCUUGUCGACGACCGGCGCACGGGUGAGUAUCGCGUAUGCAACCUGCCCCAAACUAGGGAAUCACCUCGCGAAAGUAAGACUAAUACCGUAUAAGUUCCUCAGAUGACAUCUGACGAGGACUAAAGAUUGAUCGGUUGUGGAUGGGGAUGAGUCUGAUUAGCUUGUUGUGGGGGUAACGGCCCACCAAGGCAACGAUCAGUAGGGGUUCUGAGAGGAAGGUCCCCCAAAUUGGAACUGAGACACGGUCCAAACUCCUACGGGAGGCAGCAGUGAGGAAUAUUGGUCAAUGGGCGGAAGCCUGAACCAGCCAAGUAGCGUGCAGGAUGACGGCCCUAGGGGUUGUAAACUGCUUUUAUACAGGAAUAAAGUUAGCCACGGGUGGCUAUUUGUAGGUACUGUAUGAAUAAGGACCGGCUAAUUCCGUGCCAGCCGCCGCAGUAA
Molecule: ribosomal RNA, 506 nt
Filed under: uncultured bacterium
Lineage: Bacteria
Description: partial 16S ribosomal RNA
Rfam family: Bacterial small subunit ribosomal RNA
Source: RNAcentral